GAAAUGCGAUAAGUAAUGUGAAUUGCAGAAUUCAGUGAACCAUCGAAUCUUUGAACGCACAUUGCGCCCGGCAGUAAUCUGCCGGGCAUGCCUGUCCGAGCGUCAUUUCUGCCCUCGAGCGAGUCCAGCAUCUAGGUGCUGGGCCUCGCCCGGCGUUGGGGCACUACGGGAAGCCCCUGUGCUGUCCCCCGUAGGCCCCGAAAUGAAGUGGCGGUCCUGCCGCGGCGCCCCCUGCGUAGUAUAACAGCUCGCUUCGGGACCCGGUGGAGGCCUGCCGUCAAACCUAUACUCUCUAAGUUUGACCUCGGAUCAGGUAGGGUUACCCGCUGAACUUAA
Molecule: unclassified non-coding RNA, 336 nt
Filed under: uncultured Microascaceae
Lineage: Eukaryota; Fungi; Ascomycota; Sordariomycetes; Microascales
Description: sequence contains ITS1
Rfam family: 5.8S ribosomal RNA (bases 1-105)
Source: RNAcentral